GGGAGGUCUUUUGUGGCACUGCUUCCUCCCUAGCUGUGAGACUCCAGCUACUUCACUAUGAGACUUCUGGCCCUUUCCGGUCUGCUCUGCAUGCUGCUCCUCUGUUUCUGCAUUCUCUCCUCAGAAGGGAGAAGGCAUUCUGCCAAGUCCUCAAAAUUCAGGUCCUGCUGUUACCUCUCUUCUAAAGCCCGAAAAGGCUGUGGCACUAGAAGCCCAUGAGCAGUUACCAAGAGUCCUGUCUUCCCAGAGGAAAUGUUGAUGUAAAUGAAUUGGGGAGCAAAAUGAGGAAGACAGGAUAGCUCCAACCUCAGUACCCCUGAAAGGUUGACAGCCCCUCCUCCACACUGCCAUCACACCCUGUCAGGGCUGGUGUAUGUUUCAAAAGUUCCAUGGCAGAACUCGUGAGCAACUUAGAACAAGAAGACUGAAGAAACCUCACAAGGCCCUGCAGACCAUGUAGAAGCAAGCUACCAGACAAGUCCUGGAUGGUGCCUGGGGCUCUCCCACAGAUAUAGGGAGAGGCCUGGCACCACCCAGAUGAAGCGUUGAUGCCCGGAUGUGAGGACAACCUUCUGACCCCCACCAACCUUCACGGCCAGUGAGCUGUGACAGCAGAAUGCUUCACUUCAGACAGCCGGGAGGAUUGCAGAAUUCCAAGUCCUCAUUCCAAAGGUGCCACCGACCUUCAGAGUCACUAAGAUCCAGGCUCACGCCACAAGUCUUCAUGGCUCCUCCUCCAGGGUAAAAGUCCAAGAUUCCACCUGUGGGAGCUACAGAUCCAGAGCUUCCCAAACUGACUCAGCGUACCGAGACCUCGGUGUGAUCAGCAGAGACUACCGCAUCUCAGGAACCCUCAGACAGCCCCAAACCCCUAGCAUUUAACCAAGGGUCUCUGAACCAACUCCUGUAACUUCCUAAUGUAAUCACCAGAAGACUAUCAAAAAUAAUAAAUCAUAAAUCAGCAUACACACUA
RNA transcript from Mastomys coucha (southern multimammate mouse), 973 nucleotides. It is a transcript of the gene named chromosome unknown C10orf99 homolog, with no coding region annotated. Lineage: Eukaryota; Metazoa; Chordata; Mammalia; Rodentia; Muridae. The transcript has 5 exons. The record is from RefSeq and is a predicted model, not a curated record.